CGGACGGGUGAGUAAUGUCUGGGAAACUGCCUGAUGGAGGGGGAUAACUACUGGAAACGGUAGCUAAUACCGCAUAACGUCGCAAGACCAAAGAGGGGGACCUUAGGGCCUCUUGCCAUCGGAUGUGCCCAGAUGGGAUUAGCUAGUAGGUGGGGUAAGGGCUCACCUAGGCGACGAUCCCUAGCUGGUCUGAGAGGAUGACCAGCCACACUGGAACUGAGACACGGUCCAG
This 232-nucleotide ribosomal RNA is filed under the name uncultured bacterium. RNAcentral describes it as "partial 16S ribosomal RNA". It matches the Rfam family "Bacterial small subunit ribosomal RNA", at positions 99 to 334 of the family's 1533-position model. The record is from RNAcentral.